UACGGAGGGUGCAAGCGUUAUCCGGAUUCACUGGGUUUAAAGGGUGCGUAGGUGGGUUGGUAAGUCAGUGGUGAAAUCUCCGAGCUUAACUUGGAAACUGCCAUUGAUACUAUCAGUCUUGAAUAUUGUGGAGGUCAGCGGAAUAUGUCAUGUAGCGGUGAAAUGCUUAGAUAUGACAUAGAACACCAAUUGCGAAGGCAGCUGGCUACACAUAUACUGACACUGAGGCACGAAAGCGUGGGGAUCAAACAGG
Molecule: ribosomal RNA, 253 nt
Filed under: uncultured bacterium
Lineage: Bacteria
Description: partial 16S ribosomal RNA
Rfam family: Bacterial small subunit ribosomal RNA
Source: RNAcentral